This 7421-nucleotide long non-coding RNA is filed under the name Mytilus galloprovincialis (Mediterranean mussel). Lineage: Eukaryota; Metazoa; Mollusca; Bivalvia; Mytilida; Mytilidae. The record is from RNAcentral.
GUUGGUUGGUUGGUUGGUUGGUUGGUUGGUUGGUUGGUUAAACACGUUGGAUAGGGUCAAUUGAAACACGGAAAAGAAAACAAAGAAGAUCUUGGACCCUAUAUUAAACACAUGAGACGGAAACAUGAUUGAUUGAUCAUGAUCAUGGAUUGAUUGAUUAGUUGAUUGAUUGAUUUAAUUGAUUGUUGGUUGGUUGGUUGGUUGGUUAAACACGUUGGUAGGGUAAAUUGAAACACGGAAAAAGAAACAAAGAAGAUCUUGGACCCUAUAUUAAACACAUGAGACGGAAACAUGAUUGAUUGAUCAUGAUCAUGAUUGAUUGAUUGAUUGAUUGAUUGAUUGAUUGAUUGAUUAGUUGGUUGGUUGGUUGGUUGGUUGGUUAAACACAUUGGAUAGGGUCAAUUGAAACACGGAAAAAGACACAAAGAAGAUCUUGGACCCUAUAUUAAACACAUGAGACGGAAACAUGAUUGGUUGAUCAUGAUCAUGAUUGAUUGAUUGAUUGGUUGGUUGGUUUGUUGGUUGGUUGGUUGGUUGGUUGGUUGGACCCUAUAAGAAACACAUGAGACGGAAACAUGAUUGAUUGAUUGAUCAUGAUCAUGAUAUUUUGAUUGAUUGAUUUGAUUGAUUGAUUGAUUGAUUGAUUGAUUGGUUGGUGUUGGUGUUGGUUGGUUGGUUGAAAUUCAAACACACAUAAAACUGUUUAAAUAGUGCCAAAACCACAUAAUUUGAUGACCUUGACCUUUGACCUUGUAACCUUCGUCAAGGUCAUUGCUCCACAAGGUAUUGCAAAAGACCCUAUGGGUCAAGGACCUUUUGUUUAAGAGUUUUGCCUAAAAAUGGCUUUUUAAAAACCAUCGAUGGGAGUUAUGUCCCUUACAUGAUGGUAAAAUCAAUAUAGUCAUAAUGUAAAAAAGUUGCCCCUUGAAGUACUUAAGCAUUUUUCACUGCUUAAUUUUUUGUAUCUAUAACCAUUCAAGAAUUAUAGGGAAAUCAAAGACAUAUGAAAAUCUAAAAUAUGACCUUGACCUUUGACCUUGACCUAAUUUUCUAAGUUAGGAAUCAGGGGACUCAAAUAAAACAUUCUAGGGUUAUACGGUUAACGGUUUAUGAGUUAAAAAAACAUACGACAAAUUUAUUCCGUAAAAGAUAGAUAACUCCUAUAAAAUUUCUUUCGAAUCGCUUCGAUCCAAAUUAGCCAAAAUUUCUGAGGAUGUAACGAACAAUUUUGUAAAAGAAUUUUGUCGCUAUCUUUUUUUUUACGAAGGAGAUGCACACACAUUGAAAACAGUGAUAGGGAGAUAACUCUUACAGAAAAUUGUUUAGCAGGGUAAAUUUAAAAGCGCAUAAACUAUACGAUACAUAUACAAAAUAUCUAAGCGACAUAUUGCGAAACAAAUGUUUAUCGCAAGAACAAAAUUGGCGGAAAAAAAAAAAAAAUAAUAAAAUAAAAACAAAUACAUAAGUCUUUCCACAGAAAAGUGGAAAGUGACCUUGACCUUUGACCUUGUAACCUUCGUCAAGGUCAUUGCUCCACAAGGUCAUUGCAAAAGACCCUAUGGGUCAAGGACCUUUUGUUUAAGAGUUUUGCCUAAAUAUGGCUUUUUAAAAACCAUCGAUGGGAGUUAUGUCCCUUACAUGAUGGUAAAAUCAAUAUAGUCAUAAAUGUAAAAAAGUUGCUGCCCUUGAAGUACUUACAUUUUUCACUGCUUAAAUUUUCUGUAUCUAUAACCAUUCAAGAAUUAUAGGGAAUCAAAGACAUAUGAAAAUCUAAAAUAUGACCUUGACCUUUGACCUUGACCUAAUUUUCUAAGUUAGGAAUCAGGGGACUCAAAUAAAAACUUCUAGGGUUAUACGGUUAACGUUUAUGAGUUAAAAAAAACAUACGACAAAUUAUUCCGUAAAGAUAGAUAACUCCUAUAAAAUUUCAUCAGAUCGCUUCGAUCCAAAUUAGCCAAAAUUUUCUGAGGAUGUAACGAACAAAUUUGUAAAAAGAAUUUUGUCGCUAUCUUUUUUUGUUACGAAGGAGAUGCACACACAUGAUAAACAGUGAAUAGGGAGAUACUCUUACAGAGAAAAUUGUUCGUCUUAGCAGGGUGAAAUUUAAAAGCGCAUAAACUAUACGAUACAAUAUGAGAAAUAUCUAAGCGACAUAUUGCCGAAACAAACAUUUAUCGCAAGAACAAAAGUUGGCGGAAAAAAAAAAAAAAUAAUAAUAAUAAUAAUAAUCAGACAAAUACAAUAAGUCUUCUCACAGAAAAGUGGAAGACUUAAUAAUAAUAAAUAUAAAGCAAUUGUUUUGAAAACAAUUGUUAGGCAGUCUUUCCCCUCUGAGAAUGGAUAAUUUGAUUUUUUUUUUAUGAUUGAUUUGGAAAAAAGGGGGGGGGGGUAUUUGUUUUUUUUUGUUUGUUUGUUUGCUUUGGUAUGGGGUCUAUAUUAUUAUUUUACCGGAGAAGUGUCAUGUUUAGUUUGGAAAGUUUUUCUUUUAUUUAGAUACAGCGCGCGCGCAAGAUUGAGGGAGAUCACGUGACGCGGGUUUAUAUAUAAGAAAAACUUAGUCUUUUUAUUUCUCUUUAGGUCGGGACGUUAAACAGACAACAUCUAUAGAGAUGGAAUGUACACAAUGUAAUUUCUUUUGUCAUUGUAGGAAAUUGACAUUUUCAUCACAGUUCACGGGCGUGCAUGUUUUGGAUUUAAUUUGAUCCGGUGUAACUUAAAACACAUUUAUUGAUUAUUUUCUGAUAAUGUACAUUUUUCAGCACCGUGUUUGUAACACAGAUUAAUAUUUCAAUCUCGGAGCGACAUUUAUUGUAGGUUUUUACUGAGAUUUUCGGACCUAGCAAGCGAUUUUUACAGCAUUGCAUUUCUUUUCCCUAGGAAAAGUCUUGAGAGAUAUCGCACCACGUUGUUUUAUGAACCUUUAGUACAUGUAUGCCCUGCUGACUGCAAAUUUUGAGGUCGAUUGUACUUGUAGUUUCAGAGAACAUGUGGAUUUUUUUUUCAGAAGUGACGUAAGAACAAUAUUAAAUUUCAAUUUUUCUUGAAUAAAUGAGAGUUUGCUCCUUCAAUAAACUCAUGGAUAAACAGUCAUACAGAUUGAUUGAUGAUUGAUUGAUUGAUUGAUUAGUUUGGUUGGUUGGUUGGUUGGUUAAACACGUUGGAUAGGGUCAAUUGAAACACGGAAAAAGACACAAAGAAGAUCUUGGACCCUAUAUUAAACACAUGAGACGGAACAUGAUUGGUUGAUCAUGAUCAUGAUUGAUUGAUUGAUUGAUUGAUUGAUUGAUUGAUUGGUUGGUUGGUUGGUUGGUUGGUUGGUUGGUUAAACACGUUGGAUAGGGUCAAUUGAAACAGCGAAAAAGAAACAAAGAAGAUCUUGGACCCUACAUUAAACACAUGAGACGGAAAGAUGAUUGAUUGAUCAUGAUCAUGAUUGUGAUUGAUUGAUGAUUGAUUGAUUGAUUGAUUGAUUAGUGUGUUGGUUGGUUGGUUGGUUGGUUAAACACGUUGGUUAGGGUCAAUUGAAACAGCGAAAAAGAAACGAAGAAGAUCUUGAACCCUAUAAUAAACACAUGAGACGGAAACAUGAUUGAUUGAUUGAUCAUGAUCAUUAUUGGUUGAUUGAUCAUGAUCAUGAUUGAUUGAUUGGUUGGUUGGUUGGUUGGUUGGUUAAACACGUUGGAUAGGGUCACUUGAAACACGGAAAAAAAAAACAAAGAAGAUCUUGGACCCUAUAUUAAACACAUGAGACGGAAACAUGAUUGAUUGAUCAUGAUCAUGAUUGAUUGAUUGAUUGAUUAGUUUGUUGGUUGGUGUUGGUUGGUUGGUUGGUUAAAAACCGUUGGAUAGGGUCAAUUGAAACACGGAAAAAGACACAAAGAAGAUCUUGGACCCUUUAUUAAACACAUGAGACGGAAACAUUGAUUGGUUGAUCAUGAUCAUGAGUAUAUUGAUUGAUGAUUGAUUGAUUGAUGAUGAUUGUUGUUGGUUGGUUGGUUGGUUGUUGUUGGUUGGUUGGUUGAACCCUAUAAGAAACACAUGAGACUGAAAAUGAUUGAUUGAUUGAUCGAUCAUGAUCAUGAUUGAUUGAUUGAUUCAUUGGUUGGUUGGUGGUUGGUUGGUUGGUGGUUUUGUUGUUGAAAUUCAAACACACAUAAAACUGUUUAAAUAGUGCCAAAAACCACAUAAUUUGAUGACCUUGACCUUUGACCUUGUAACCUUCGUCAAGGUCAUUGCUCCACAAGGUCAUUGCAAAAGACCCUAUGGGUCAAGGACCUUUUGUUUAAGAGUUUUGCCUAAAUAUGGCUUUUAAAACCAUCGAUGGGAGUUAUGUCCCUUACAUGAUGGUAAAAUCAAUAUAGUCAUAAUGUAAAAAAGUUGCCCCUUGAAGUACUUAACAUUUUUCACUGCUUAAAUUUUCUGUAUCUAUAACCAUUCAAGAAUUAUAGGGAAAACAAAGACAUAUGAAAAUCUAAAAUAUGACCUUGACUUGUGACCUUGACCUAAUUUUCUAAGUUAGGAAUCAGGGGACUCAAAUAAAAACAUUCUAGGGUUAUACGGUUAACGGUUUAUGAGUUAAAAAAAACAUACGACAAAUUUAUUCCGUAAAGAUAGAUAACUCCUAUAAAAUUUCAUCGAUCGCUUCGAUCCAAAUACGCAAAAUUUUCUGAGGAUGUAACGAACAAUUUGUAAAAAGCAUUUGUCGCUAUCUUUUUUGUUUACGAAGGAGAUGCACACACAUGAUAAACAGUGAAUAGGAGAUAACUCUACAAGAAAAUUGUUCGUCUUAGCAGGGUGAAUUUAUAAAGCGCAUAAACUAUUACGAUACAUAUGAGAAAUUAUCUAAGCGACAUAUUGCGACAACAACAUUUAUCGCAAGAACAAAGUUGGCGGAAAAAAAAAAAAUUAAUAAUAUAAUAAUUAAUCAGAACAAAUACAAUAAGUCUUUCCACAGAAAAUGGAAAGAUUUAAUAAUUAAAAUAAAAGCAAUGUUUUUGAAAAACAAUGUUAGCAGUCUUUUCCCCUCUGUAUGAAGGCAUAAUUGAUUUUUGCUUUUAAUUGAUUGAUUUGAGAAAAAAGGGGGGGGGGGUCAUUUGAGUUUUUUUGUUUGUUUGUUUGUUUGUUUCUGUAUGGGGUCUAUAUUAUUGUUACCGGAGAAGUUUCAUGUUUAGUUUGGAAAGUUUUUAUUUUAUUUUAGGUACAGCGCGCGCGCCAGAUUUAGGAGACAUCACGUGACUUGGGUUUAUAAUAACGAAAACUUAGUAUUUUUAUUUCUCUUUAGGUCGGGAUGUUGAACAGACAACAUGUAUAGAGACGGAAUGUACACAAUGUAAUUUCUUUUGUCAUUGUAGGAAAUUGACAUUUUCAUCACAGUUCACGGGCCGUGCAUGUUUUGGAUUUAAUUGAUCCGGUGUAACUUUAAAACACAUUUAUUGAUUAUUUUCUGAUAAUGUACAUUUUUCAGCACCUGUUUGUAACACAGAUUAGUAUUUCAAUCUCGGAGCGGACAUUUUAUUGUAGGUUUUUACUGAGAUUUACGGACCUAGCAAGCGAUUUUUACGGCAUUGCCAUUUCUUUUCUCUAGGAAAAGCUCUUGAGAGAUAUCUGCACCAAGUUUUUUUAUAAACCUUUAGUACAUGUAUGCCCUGCUGACUGCAAAUUUUGAGGUCGAUUGUACUUGUAGUUUCAGAGAACAUGUGGAUUUUUUUUUCAGAAGUGACGUAAGAACAAUAUUAAAUUUCAAUUUUUCUUGAAUAAUUGAGAGUUUGUUCCUUCAAUAAACUGUCAUGAAUAAACAGUCAUACAGAUUGAUUGAUUGAUUGAUUGAUUGAUUGAUUGAUUGAUUAGUUGGAUGGUUGGUUGGUUGGUUGGUUAAACACGUUGGGUAGGGUCAAUUGAAACACGGAAAAAGACACAAAGAAGAUCUUGGACCCUAUAUUAAACACAUGAGACGGAAACAUGAUUGAUUGAUCAUGAUCAUGAUUGAUUGAUUGAUUGAUUGAUUGAUUGAUUGAUUAGUUGGUUGGUUGGUUGGUUGGUUGGUUGGUUAAACACGUUGGAUAGGGUCAAUUGAAACAGCGAAAAAGAAACAAAGAAGAUCUUGGACCCUAUAUUAAACACAUGAGACGGAAACAUGAUUGAUUGAUCAUGAUCAUGAUUGAUUGAUUGAUUGAUUGAUUGAUUGAUUGAUUGAUUGAUUAGUUGGUUGGUUGGUUGGUUGGUUGGUUGGUUAAACACGUUGGUUAGGGUCAAUUGAAACACGGAAAAAGAAACAAAGAAGAUCUUGGACCCUAUAUUAAACACAUGAGACGGAAACAUGAUUGAUUGAUUGAUCAUGAUCAUUAUUGGUUGAUUGAUCAUGAUGAUGAUUGAUUGAUUGGUUGGUUGGUUGGUUGGUUGGUUGGUUAAACACGUUGGUUAGGGUCAAUUGAAACAGCGAAAAAGAAACAAAGAAUAUCUUGAACCCUAUAAUAAACACAUGAGACGGAAACAUGAUUGAUUGAUUGAUCAUGAUCAUGAUCAUUAUUGGUUGAUUGAUCAUGAUCAUGAUUGAUUGAUUGAUUGAUUGGUUGGUUGGUUGGUUGGUUGGUUGGUUGGUUAAACACGUUGGAUAGGGUCAAUUGAAACACGGAAAAAGACACAAAGAAGAUCUUGGACCCUAUAUUAAACACAUGAGACGGAAACAUGAUUGGUUGAUCAUGAUCAUGAUUGAUUGAUUGAUUGAUUGAUUGAUUGAUUGAUUGAUUGAUUGGUUGGUUGGUUGGUUGGUUGGUUGGUUGGUUGAACCCUAUAAGAAACACAUGAGACUGAAACAUGAUUGAUUGAUUGAUCGAUCAUGAUCAUGAUUGAUUGAUUGAUUGAUUGAUUGAUUGGUUGGUUGGUUGGUUGGUUGGUUGGUUGGUUGGUUGGUUGAAAUUCAAACACACAUAAAACUGUUUAAAUAGUGCCAAAACCACAUAAUUUGAUGACCUUGACCUUUGACCUUGUAACCUUCGUCAAGGUCAUUGCUCCACAAGGUCAUUGCAAAAGACCCUAUGGGUCAAGGACCUUUUGUUUAAGAGUUUUGCCUAAAUAUGGCUUUUUAAAAACCAUCGAUGGGAGUUAUGUCCCUUACAUGAUGGUAAAAUCAAUAUAGUCAUAAUGUAAAAAAGUUGCCCCUUGAAGUACUUAACAUUUUUCACUGCUUAAAUUUUCUGUAUCUAUAACCAUUCAAGAAUUAUAGGGAAAUCAAAGACAUAUGAAAAUCUAAAAUAUGACCUUGACCUUUGACCUUGACCUAAUUUUCUAAGUUAGGAAUCAGGGGACUCAAAUAAAAACAUUCCAGGGUUAUACGGUUAACGGUUUAUGAGUUAAAAAAACAUACCGACAAAUUUAUUCCGUAAAGAUAGAUAACUCCUAUAAAAUUUCAUCGAAUCGCUUCG